RNAcentral lists this ribosomal RNA (465 nucleotides) under uncultured bacterium. RNAcentral describes it as "partial 16S ribosomal RNA". It matches the Rfam family "Bacterial small subunit ribosomal RNA", at positions 338 to 795 of the family's 1533-position model. The record is from RNAcentral.
CCUACGGGUGGCAGCAGUGGGGAAUUUUGCGCAAUGCACGUAAGUGUGACGCAGCGACGCUGCGUGAAUGAUGACGGCCUUCUGAUCGUAAACCUCUGUCAGCAGGGAAGAACGGUCACUGUGCUAAUCAGCAGUGAAUUGACGGUACCUGCAAGGGACGCAUCGGCUAACGCCGUGCCAGCAGCCGCGGUAAUACGGAGGGUGCGAGCGUUAAUCGGAAUUACUGGGCGUAAAGGGAUCGUAGGCGGUAUGUCAAGUCAGGGGUGAAAUCCCCGGGCUCAACGUGGGAACUGCCUUUGAAACUGGCAAACUGGAGUGUGUGAGAGGAUAGUGGAAUUCCAGGUGUAGGAGUGAAAUCCGUAGAUAUCUGGAAGAACAUCAGUGGCGAAGGCGACUAACUGGAACAUAACUGACGCUGAGGAGCGAAAGCGUGGGUAGCAAACAGGAUUAGAUACCCGAGUAGUC